UACGGAGGAUGCGAGCGUUAUCCGGAUUUAUUGGGUUUAAAGGGUGCGUAGGUGGCCGUUUAAGUCAGUGGUGAAAGUUUGUGGCUCAACCAUAAAAUUGCCAUUGAAACUGGACGGCUUGAGUGUAUUUGAGGUAGGCGGAAUGCGUGGUGUAGCGGUGAAAUGCAUAGAUAUCACGCAGAACUCCGAUUGCGAAGGCAGCUUACUAAACUAUAACUGACACUGAAGCACGAAAGCGUGGGGAUCAAACAGGAUUAGAUACCCUGGUAGUCCACGCAGUAAACGAUGAUUACUAGGAAUUUGCGAUAUACAGUAAGUUCUACAGCGAAAGCGUUAAGUAAUCCACCUGGGGAGUACGCCGGCAACGGUGAA
Molecule: ribosomal RNA, 372 nt
Filed under: uncultured bacterium
Lineage: Bacteria
Description: bacterial SSU rRNA
Rfam family: Bacterial small subunit ribosomal RNA
Source: RNAcentral